UCGCUGGGUGUAGACCCGAAACCAAGUGAUCUAUCCAUGGGCAGGAUGAAGGUGCCGUAACAGGUACUGGAGGUCCGAACCGACUAAUGUUGCAAAAUUAGCGGAUGACCUGUGGAUAGGGGUGAAAGGCUAAACAAACUUGGAAAUAGCUGGUUCUCUCCGAAAACUAUUUAGGUAGUGCCUCAAGUAUUACCAUCGGGGGUAGAGCACUGUUUUGGCUAGGGGGUCAUGGCGACUUACCAAACCAAGGCAAACUCCGAAUACCGAUGAGUACAGCUUGGGAGACAGAGCACCGGGUGCUAACGUCCGGACUCAAGAGGGAAACAACCCAGACCGCCAGCUAAGGUCCCUAAAAUUGGCUAAGUGGGAAACGAAGUGGGAAGGCUAAAACAGUCAGGAUGUUGGCUUAGAAGCAGCCAUCAUUUAAAGAAAGCGUAAUAGCUCACUGAUCGAGUCGUCCUGCGCGGAANGUGUAACGGGGCUAAGCCAGUUACCGAAGCUGCGGAUUUGCAAUUUAUUGCAAGUGGUAGGAGAGCGUUCUGUAGGCCUGUGAAGGUGGUGGUGUAAACCCUGCUGGAGGUAUCAGAAGUGCGAAUGCUGACAUGAGUAGCGUUAAAGGGGGUGAAAAGCCCCCUCGCCGUAAGCGCAAGGUUUUCUACGCAACGUUCAUCGGCGUAGAGUGAGUCGGCCCCUAAGGCGAGGCAGAGAUGCGUAGCUGAUGGGAAACAGGUCAAUAUUCCUGUACCGAUGACAAGUGCGAUGUGGGGACGGAGAAGGUUAGCUCAGCCAACUGUUGGAUAUGUUGGUUCAAGCCUGUAGUCGUGCUCGGUAGGCAAAUCCGCCGGGCUUAGAUGAGGGGUGAUAACGAGGGUGCUUGCACCUGAAGUGAGUGAUACCCUGCUUCCAGGAAAAGCCACUAAGCUUCAGCUUGUCAUUGACCGUACCGCAAACCGACACUGGUGCGCGAGAUGAGUAUUCUAAGGCGCUUGAGAGAACUCAGGAGAAGGAACUCGGCAAAUUGAUACCGUAACUUCGGGAGAAGGUAUGCCCCUAGUAGGUGAACUUGAACAAAGGGAGCCCAACGGGGUUGCAAAAAAUCGGUGGCUGCGACUGUUUAAUAAAAACACAGCACUCUGCAAACACGAAAGUGGACGUAUAGGGUGUGACGCCUGCCCGGUGCUGGAAGAUUAAAUGAUGGGGUGCAAGCUCUUGAUUGAAGUCCCAGUAAACGGCGGCCGUAACUAUAACGGUCCUAAGGUAGCGAAAUUCCUUGUCGGGUAAGUUCCGACCUGCACGAAUGGCGUAACGAUGGCCACACUGUCUCCUCCUGAGACUCAGCGAAGUUGAAAUGUUUGUGAUGAUGCAAUCUCCCCGCGGAAAGACGGAAAGACCCCAUGAACCUUUACUGUAGCUUUGUAUUGGACUUUGAACAGAUCUGUGUAGGAUAGGUGGGAGGCUUUGAAGCUGGAACGCUAGUUUCAGUGGAGCCGACGUUGAAAUACCACCCUGGUGUGUUUGAGGUUCUAACCUAGGUCCAUUAUCUGGAUCGGGGACAGUGCAUGGUAGGCAGUUUGACUGGGGCGGUCUCCUCCCAAAGCGUAACGGAGGAGUUCGAAGGUACGCUAGUUACGGUCGGACAUCGUGAUAAUAGUGCAAUGGCAUAAGCGUGCUUAACUGCGAGACUGACAAGUCGAGCAGAUACGAAAGUAGGACAUAGUGAUCCGGUGGUUCUGUAUGGAAGGGCCAUCGCUCAACGGAUAAAAGGUACUCUGGGGAUAACAGGCUGAUGCCGCCCAAGAGUUCAUAUCGACGGCGGUGUUUGGCACCUCGAUGUCGGCUCAUCUCAUCCUGGGGCUGUAGCCGGUCCCAAGGGUAUGGCUGUUCGCCAUUUAAAGAGGUACGUGAGCUGGGUUUAAAACGUCGUGAGACAGUUUGGUCCCUAUCUUCCGUGGGCGCUG
Molecule: ribosomal RNA, 1958 nt
Filed under: Limnohabitans sp. Rim42
Lineage: Bacteria; Pseudomonadati; Pseudomonadota; Betaproteobacteria; Burkholderiales; Comamonadaceae
Description: bacterial LSU rRNA
Rfam family: Bacterial large subunit ribosomal RNA
Source: RNAcentral